This 24-nucleotide non-coding RNA is filed under the name Rattus norvegicus (Norway rat). The record is from RNAcentral. Lineage: Eukaryota; Metazoa; Chordata; Mammalia; Rodentia; Muridae.
CUAUUGAUAAGUGAGGUGUACUUC